RNAcentral lists this ribosomal RNA (468 nucleotides) under uncultured bacterium. RNAcentral's name for it is "partial 16S ribosomal RNA". It matches the Rfam family "Bacterial small subunit ribosomal RNA", at positions 28 to 507 of the family's 1533-position model. The record is from RNAcentral.
GACGAACGCUGGCGGUGUGCUUAACACAUGCAAGUCGAACGGUAAGGCCCUUUCGGGGGUACACGAGUGGCGCACGGGUGAGUAACACGUGAGUAACCUGCCUUCAUCUCUGGGAUAACAGUCGGAAACGGUUGCUAAUACUGGAUAUGAGCUUGCAAGGCAUCUUGUGGGUUGGAAAGAUUUUUUUUGGUUGGGGAUGGACUCGCGGCCUAUCAGCUUGUUGGUGAGGUAGUGGCUCACCAAGGCUUCGACGGGUAGCCGGCCUGAGAGGGCCACCGGCCACAUUGGGACUGAGAUACGGCCCAAACUCCUACGGGAGGCAGCAGUGGGGAAUAUUGCACAAUGGACGGAAGUCUGAUGCAGCAACGCCGCGUGCGGGAUGACGGCCUUCGGGUUGUAAACCGCUUUCAAUUGUGACGAAGCUUUUUUGUGACGGUAGCAGUAGAAGAAGCACCGGCUAACUACGUG